GACGAACGCUGGCGGCGUGGAUUAGGCAUGCAAGUCGAACGGUAUCAUCCUUUCGGGGGUGAGAGAGUGGCGAACUGGUGAGUAACACGUAGGUUAUCUACCCUCAAGACGGGGACAACCCAGGGAAACUUGGGCUAAUACCGGAUGUGAGCAACUUUUUAGUUGUUUGAAAGGUGGCGUAAGCUGUCGCUUGGGGAUGAGCCUGCGUCCUAUUAGUUAGUUGGUGAGGUAACGGCUCACCUAGGCAAUGAUAGGUAGGCGGCCUUAACGGGUGGUCGCCCACACUGGGAUUGAGAUACGGCCCAGACUCCUACGGGAGGCAGCAGUCGAGAAUAGUCUACAAUGGUCGGAAGACUGAUAGUGCGACGCCGCGUGAACGAUGAAUCCCUUCGGGGUGUAAAGUUCUUUUAUAUGUGAGCAGUGCUUCUUAUAUUAACAGUAUGGGGAGAGAGAUAUUAGCAUAUGAAUAAGCAACGGCUAACUCCGUGCCAGCAGCCGCGGUAAU
Molecule: ribosomal RNA, 505 nt
Filed under: uncultured bacterium
Lineage: Bacteria
Description: bacterial SSU rRNA
Rfam family: Bacterial small subunit ribosomal RNA
Source: RNAcentral